Molecule: long non-coding RNA, 181 nt
Organism: Xiphophorus hellerii (green swordtail)
Lineage: Eukaryota; Metazoa; Chordata; Actinopteri; Cyprinodontiformes; Poeciliidae
Exons: 3
Source: RefSeq, a predicted model, not a curated record
AGUCAAGACCACCUAACCCAAGACCAAGACCAGAUCAAGACCUGCGCCCCACGCUACAUGACACAAUAAAAUGUGAAGUAUGAUACAAAUUGCUUCUCAAAUUGAUCUAAAAGAUUCACAUUCCCAUAAAAACACCUAGAUAUUAAAUAUUUGGAGCUGAAAUAAAUUAGAAUGAGUCAAU